AUGUCAUCUCGUAGUCAAGUGCUUCAAAUUUACAAUUCGUUUGUUACCAUGGUUCGCACUCAGUAUGAUUCCUCUGUUCCAGUUUUUCGUGCUGAUUCGGCUGGCGAGUACCUAUCUCGUGCGUUUUGUGGUUUCCUUGCUGAACAUGGUACCCUUCCUCAGUAUUCCUGUCCUGGUGCACAUGCUCAAAAUGGGUUGGCUGAACGCAAACAUCGUCACGUCCUUGAGACUGCUCGGGCUCUUCUUUUAUCUUCUGCUGUUCCCCCGCACUUUUGGGCUGAGGUUGUCUCUACCGUUGUUUAUCUCAUUAAUAUUCAGCCUUCUGUUGCUCUUCAGGGAGGGAUACCAGUUGAUCAUCUAGGUGAUGGUCCAGCUGAUUAUAGUGGUCUACGCCUGUUUGGUUGUGCAUGUUUUGUUCUUCUCCACCCUCAUGAACGCACCAAAUUGACUGCUCAAUCUGUUGAAUGUGUUUUCCUUGGCUACAGUUUGGAGCACAAAGGUUACCAUUGCUGGGACCCUAUUGCUCGGAGACUGAGAAUCUCCAAAGAUGUCACUUUUGACGAGUCUUGCUCCUUCUACGUACCCUCGUCAUUCUUCUACUGCCACCAUCGAGUCGUUAGUCGAGCAUCUCUCUUUUUUGACUCUACCUGA
RNAcentral lists this ribosomal RNA (651 nucleotides) under Triticum aestivum (bread wheat). Its description in RNAcentral is "partial small subunit ribosomal RNA". The record is from RNAcentral. Lineage: Eukaryota; Viridiplantae; Streptophyta; Magnoliopsida; Poales; Poaceae.